UCUAUGGCUUUCGUCAGCUCGUGUCGUGAGAUGUUGGGUUAAGUCCCGCAACGAGCGCAACCCUUAUCUUUAGUUGCCAGCACUUCGGGUGGGAACUCUAAAGAGACUGCCGGUGACAAACCGGAGGAAGGUGGGGAUGACGUCAAGUCAUCAUGGCCCUUAUGGCCAGGGCUACACACGUGCUACAAUGGUCGGUACAGAGGGUAGCCAAACCGCGAGGGGGAGCCAAUCCCCCAAAGCCGAUCCUAGUCCGGAUUGCAGUCUGCAACUCGACUGUGAAGUCGGAAUCGCUAGUAAUCGUGGAUCAGCAUG
RNAcentral lists this ribosomal RNA (312 nucleotides) under uncultured vent bacterium. RNAcentral describes it as "bacterial SSU rRNA". It matches the Rfam family "Bacterial small subunit ribosomal RNA", at positions 1042 to 1356 of the family's 1533-position model. The record is from RNAcentral.